GUUAGGUUAGCGGCGGACGGGUGAGUAAUACGUAGGUAACCUGCCCUUAAGACCGGGAUAACUCACGGAAACGUGGGCUAAUACCGGAUAGUCGAUUUCCUCGCAUGAGGGAAUCGGGAAAGGCGGAGCAAUCUGCCACUUAUGGAUGGACCUACGGCGCAUUAGCUAGUUGGUGGGGUAACGGCUCACCAAGGCGACGAUGCGUAGCCGACCUGAGAGGGUGAUCGGCCACACUGGGACUGAGCCACGAUUAAAUACAAUACGGGAGGCAGCAGUAGGUAAUCUUCCGCAAUGGACGCAAGUCUGACGGAGCAACGCCGCGUGAGUGAUGAAGGUUUUCGGAUCGUAAAGCUCUGUUGCCAGGAAAGAACGCUAUGGAGAGUAACUGUUCCAUAGGUGACGGUACCUGAGAAGAAAGCCCCGGCUAACUACGUGCCAGCAGCCGCGGUAAUACGUAGGGGGCAAGCGUUGUCCGGAAUUAUUGGGCGUAAAGCGCGCGCAGGCGGUCAUGUAAGUCUGGUGAUUAAACCCGGGGCUCAACUCCGGGUCGCAUCGGAAACUGUGUGACUUGAGAGCAAAAAGAGGAAAGUGCAAUUCCACGUGUAGCGGUGAAAUGCGUAG
Molecule: ribosomal RNA, 621 nt
Filed under: Paenibacillus dendritiformis
Lineage: Bacteria; Bacillati; Bacillota; Bacilli; Caryophanales; Paenibacillaceae
Description: bacterial SSU rRNA
Rfam family: Bacterial small subunit ribosomal RNA
Source: RNAcentral